GACGAACGCUGGCGGCGUGCUUAACACAUGCAAGUCGAACGCUGAAGCUCAGCUUGCUGGGUGGAUGAGUGGCGAACGGGUGAGUAACACGUGAGUAACCUGCCCUCUUCUUUGGGAUAACGCCCGGAAACGGGUGCUAAUACUGGAUAUUCACUGAUUCUCGCAUGGGGGUUGGUGGAAAGGUUUUUUCUGGUGGGGGAUGGGCUCGCGGCCUAUCAGCUUGUUGGUGGGGUGAUGGCCUACCAAGGCUUUGACGUGUAGCCGGCCUGAGAGGGUGACCGGUCACAUUGGGACUGAGAUACGGCCCAGACUCCUACGGGAGGCAGCAGUGGGGAAUAUUGCACAAUGGGCGAAAGCCUGAUGCAGCGACGCCGCGUGAGGGAUGGAGGCCUUCGGGUUGUAAACCUCUUUCGCUCAUGGUCAAGCCGCAGCUUUGGGUUGUGGUGAGGGUAGUGGGUAAAGAAGCGCCGGCUAACUACGUG
RNAcentral lists this ribosomal RNA (482 nucleotides) under uncultured bacterium. RNAcentral describes it as "partial 16S ribosomal RNA". It matches the Rfam family "Bacterial small subunit ribosomal RNA", at positions 28 to 507 of the family's 1533-position model. The record is from RNAcentral.